Molecule: ribosomal RNA, 468 nt
Filed under: uncultured bacterium
Lineage: Bacteria
Description: partial 16S ribosomal RNA
Rfam family: Bacterial small subunit ribosomal RNA
Source: RNAcentral
GACGAACGCUGGCGGCGUGCUUAACACAUGCAAGUCGAACGGAAAGGCCCUGCGGUUUUGGGGUGCUCGAGUGGCGAACGGGUGAGGAACACGUGAGUAACCUGGCCUUGACUUUGGGAUAACUUGAGGAAACUGGGGCGAAUACCGGAUAGGAGCUCCUGCUGCAUGGUGGGGGUGGGAAAGUUUCGGCGGUUGGGGAUGGACGCGCGGUUUAUCAGAUUGUUGGUGGGGUAGUGGCUUACCAAGGCUUUGGCGGGUAGCCGGGCUGAGAGGGUGAACGGCCCCACUGGACUUGAGCUGAGGCCCGGACUACUCCGGGAGGCAGCAGUGGAGAAUAGUGCACAUUGGGCGGAAGCCUGAUGCGGCAACGCCGCGUGCGGGAUGACGGCAUUCGGGUUGUAAACCGCUUUCGCCUGUGACGAAGCGUUAGUGACGGUAAUGGAUAAAGAAGCACCGGCUAACUACGUG